AUGAGAGCAGAGGGCCUGCAUUCCUCGGUGCAGUACCAAAUCCUCAUGGGACAGACCUCAUUAGUGGGCUGGCUGUUCCCAGGCUGUCUCAUAGCCACUGUUCCAUGUAUGUGUGUUCUACAAGACACCUGCCUCGGUGAGGCGGCACGGGGGAGUUCAGCGACGUCUGCACGCGGACGGGACGUUCUCGAGGGAGCAGCUCGCCUCGUGGUGUCUUCUCAACCUUGGAGGAAUUGUAAAUGCACAGAAACAACACGCCGUCCUCCCUUUGCUCCAUGCCGUCAUGCACUGAAGUGUCCCUGAGAGACGCUUAGCACAUCACUCAGUGACUCUGUGGUUCCAGACAGCUUUGACCCCUUCCCCCCCCCUCUGUUGUUGACCCGGGCUGCGCCUGACAGCUUCUCAUGUCACAUUCUGUCUUUGGUUUCACUUUAUUUUUCAGCCCGAAGACAAGCGCAAGGACAAGGGGGGCGGGGGGGUGGUAGAGGCGGGGUGUUGAAACACUGUUCAGACUUUUAUGAGUGUGGCAGGAGAGAGCCGCCUUGUUGUGUACGUGGAGAGACAAAUACCCGAUGCCCCCCCCCACCUUUCAGCCACUUCAUAAAUCAUGACCUGGGACACGAGGACUGUGGCAGGUUGUGGCCUCUGUUUGUAGAGAAACCAAAGGCAAAUACGUACUUUAUAUCAUUUGAGUAAAUCAGCAGUAAAACGGCUCAUAUAACAUUUAAUUACAUGGUUUUUAUACAAGUGAGGUCAACUUACCUGAUGGUUCAUCCAGCUACUGUUUAUAUCAGCUGUGUAAAUCAUAAUAAUAAUAAUAAUCAUGGAGUCAAACGGGAUUUUUUUUGUGGUCCACUUUGCGUGUCUCUCAACCCUUUGCAGUCACUUAGCGAAGCAUCGUCCAGAGCCCAGAUCCUCCGUAGACGCUCGUGCAUGUGCUGUAAUCUAUAGCGCCAACCUCCACCUAUGUUGCUACAUCAGUUUGACCCCCUGGUUAUAUUCUUCAAGCGCAUAUCACGGACCCAUCUGUGGGUUUCUCUCUGAAAUCACUUUUACAUUUCCCAAAGAUUAGAUAAUAUCUAUUCAGGCCGGUCGGGUGGUGGGUCGCUGAAGGUUUGGAAGCCCGUCGCAGCUCUGAUAGCUUGAUUGAGCAGCAGCAGGUGGCGCGGCCGAGCGAAAUAUCAAUUAAUCCGCGGCCAAAGUUCAGAAACCGAGCUGAAGUUGGAAAUGAUAAUAGUUUAAUAUUGUAAUGGAAUGUGGCACGGAGACAGGCGGGCUGAUAGGGGUGGACUGUUAUACUAGGAAGUGGUUGAAAUGAUCCACUGAUAUCGGGCCAACGGCUGGUGAGAGGCACAAGAAAGGUAAACACAGAGACAGGAACGCACAGGAGUUGCACGCCAAGGCUGAGGUGACAGUGAGCGCCGGAGCCAAGGCCUCCCUCGCUGAUCACAACACAAUUGACUGAUAAGCAACUUGUGCAAUACACGGAGGCAGGCGCGUGCUCACCCUUCUCUCACGGCGUCCUUCCCAUUCCUUUGAAAGUGGAGGAUUUCGACAUCGUUAACAGCCACGGGGCAGAAUAGACGGGCAAAGUAUGAAGGCGAAACUGGAUAUCAGGUCCAACGCCUUGCACAGAUCUUUAACACACACACAGUAAGCAUUGCUUAUGACGUGGGACAAGACACUAUAUAAUGGAAUAUACUGUAUUCUUACGAUACUGUAAGGAAAACUUGAUCUGGAUGAAUUACCCUUUUGAUGACCAGUUUUUCCACGGGCUUUUAAGAUAUGACUUGAAAUCCAUAAAAAUGUAGAGAACACCCUCCCACGCACACGCAUGUAUAACAGGUUUCUCACUUCCCUGUUAUUCUUCGCAAACGGGGAUUUAUGCUGUGGACGGAUCUGCGAAGUGACGCCACUAUCCGGCAUCCGCCGCAAACUAAAGGCACACGUCUUCCGACUCCACCUGGACUAAAAACACUAACAAAUUGUAGCACAAAUUGCACUUACAAUGGCUCUUAUCCAUAGCAAGUUGUUGUUCUUUUGAGUUUCUAUCCUUAUGGUUGAAAUGCACUUAUCGUAAGUCGCUUUGGACAAAAGCGUCAGCUAAAUGAUAUAUAAUGUAAUGUAAUGUAAAUAGGAUGUCUCACUUUCUGCCUCUUCGCCACGUGAUGAUGUACUGGAGUAGGCCCCAUCUGACACACAGAUUUGGGGUACUCUACGCACAGGCGUUUAUUUAUGAUUGAACCUGUGCCGGUGGAAUGCGGGAUGGAUACUGUACAAUAACUGUUAUGAUUUACUGUCCAUGACAACAGGUACACUGCCUUUCAUUUUGGUUCAUAAAUCAGGUAAAUGGGAGGAGGAGCAGCCGUUCAUGGUGGCAACACAAGCCGGAGCAGCUCCCGCUUUUAAUUCUGUGGUUACACGUGAAAACACUCACACACAGACAUCAACAACCUCCUCCUGGGGAGAAAGGCGUUACAUAUAUUUACCCCUUAACAUUACCUAAUGGCCAAUUAUGUUUUUUCGUCGUAUCGCAUGACAACAGAUCUUACUCCACUUUAGAAGCAGUAGUACUGUUAUUUUCUAGUUUUCAUUUAGUUUGAACGAUUCUUUUCUAAACCAGUAGUUUCUAUGAUCAUUCUUAUCUUUUGGAUGUUUUUCUACUUACAGGCUGUUUCCAUAGAUGUGUUUUCCCCUGUAGGGAGUAUCAGACGCAGCUCUGCGCUCAUUGGUCUUGUCUCAGAGUAGAUUGACUUGCAUUAUAACCACGGAGAUAAAGCUGGUUGUGUCUAUCCAUAUAUAUAUCUGUACGUAUAUAGAUCUAGAUCUAGAUAUAUCGAUCUAUUUAGCCUGUUCUGCU
This is a long non-coding RNA of Gasterosteus aculeatus (three-spined stickleback), 2860 nucleotides long. Lineage: Eukaryota; Metazoa; Chordata; Actinopteri; Perciformes; Gasterosteidae. The record is from Ensembl.